AGCGAACGUUUGCGGCGGGCUUAACACAUGCAAGUCGAACGAGAAUCCCUUCGGGGAGGAAAGUGGCGCACGGGUGCGUAACACGUGGAUAACCAACCCAUUGGUUUGGGACAACACCGGGAAACUGGUGCUAAUACCAGAUGUGUCGCAGCUGUCUUCAGGCGGUUGCGAGAAAGGCCCGCAAGGGUCGCCAACGGACGGGUCCGCGUCCCAUCAGCUAGUUGGUGAGGUAAUGGCUCACCAAGGCAAAGACGGGUAGCUGGUCUGAGAGGAUGAUCAGCCACACUGGAACUGAGACACGGUCCAGACUCCUACGGGAGGCAGCAGUGGGGAAUAUUGCGCAAUGGGCGGAAGCCUGACGCAGCCACGCCGCGUGAGCGAUGAAGGUCUUCGGAUCGUAAAGCUCUGUGGGGGGAGAAGAAGAAAGCCGGUGAAGAGCCGGCCCUGACGGUAUCCCCUUAGCAAGCACCGGCUAACUCCGUGCCAGCAGCCGCGGU
RNAcentral lists this ribosomal RNA (497 nucleotides) under uncultured bacterium. Its description in RNAcentral is "bacterial SSU rRNA". It matches the Rfam family "Bacterial small subunit ribosomal RNA", at positions 29 to 521 of the family's 1533-position model. The record is from RNAcentral.